Cavia porcellus (domestic guinea pig) is the source of this 12634-nucleotide long non-coding RNA. RefSeq lists it as uncharacterized. The record is from RefSeq and is a predicted model, not a curated record. Lineage: Eukaryota; Metazoa; Chordata; Mammalia; Rodentia; Caviidae. The transcript is spliced from 3 exons.
AGCCAGGGUUGUUCUUGCUACAUGACCAAUUCUUUUUCCGUAGUCUACCCCCAGAAGCUUUAAAAAUUUCUCACCUUCGUAUGAAAAGACACCCUUAGAAAUAACUUUUUUUUUUUCUUUGUACCAGGGAUUGAACUCAUGACCAUGUGCUGGCCAGGCAGGUGCUUAUGCCACUGAGCUAAAUCCCCAGCCUAACUUUUUAUACUUGGUUGACACUCCUCUCCUUACUUCGUUAUAAUCAGGAUUUGUGAUUUGUGAGUGCCUAUGUAUUCUUUUAUUUCUUCUCGCACAAUGUUUCUGUCCUGUAGUGUUUAUUUUAUGAAGUUGGGCAUGCCUGUGAUGGGGCAUGUAUGUUUAUAAUCAGUAUCUCUAUUGAAUUGUUUCCUUAACCAAUAUAUAGUGGGUUUUUUUGUCUGUUUGUUUUUUCCUUUUAUGACCAGUUUUGGCUUGACGUCCACUUUGUCUGAAAAUAGGGUAGCUACUCCUGCUUUUUUAGGGGAAUUCUCAUUGUAUAGAAUAUUGUUUUUCAUGUUUUGAGUUUUAGUCUAUGAAUUUUUUUUGGCUCACAUGUGUUUCUUGUAUACAACAUAUUGUUGGAUUUUGUUUCUUGAUCUGGCUUUUCAAUCUGUGUCUUUUGAGUGCAGAAUUGAGACCAUUCCCACCCACAGUUAUUGCUGAAGUUACUGACUUAAUCCUGUCACUGCAUUUUUUCUGUUGCCGACUCCCACGCCCUUCUGACUUCCUGCUCUCCCUGCCAGGUGUGUUUCUUCUGUUAGAUCUUUGGUACUGUUAGCACCAUUCUCGUCUUUGGAUAUCACUGAGAAUUUUUGGAAGCAUUGGUUUGAUCAUGAAUUUUUAAGGUGCUCUUUGUUGUAGAACUACCUUAUUUCUUUUUCAAUUCUGAUGUCUCAGAAGUUAUUUUCUUUUAGGGCUUGAAAAACCCUUUACUCCAAGUGCUUUUGGUCUUUACGGUUUAUAUUGAGACCUGCUAUAAUUUUAAUGGAUUUACCUUUAUGCGUGAUUUAUUCUUUUUCUCUAACAGCAUUUAAGAUGCAGUCCUUGUGUUGGACUUCUGGGAUUUUGACUGUAAUUUGUUACAGAGGUUCUUUUCUGAAUGUGGCUAUUUGGGGUUCUUUAUCCCUCCCUAAUAAACAAUUGAUUCUUUUCUCAUUAGUCAAUUGAACAUUCCAAAUAAAAUUCUCAUGUAUAAAUGAGUCCAUCUGUGGUAGAUCAUCACUGCAUAAGAGGCCUCUGGCUUUUACACACUUUGCAUGGAAUCUGAAAUUCAUGAGCCCAGAAGAAAAAGAAAGGGACGCGGAACAUACCCACACCAUGUCAUCACCCUGAGGUGAGGCACGUAGGCACUCACCAGCUGGGCUUAAUUGGGUUUCCUUCCUUCCUUCCUUCCUUCCUUCCUUCCUUUCUUCCUUCCUUCCUUCCUUUCUUUGUGCUUAUGCCACUGAGCUAAAUUGCUAGCUCCGUUAACAGUGUUUUUUUGGUUGCUGUUGCUGCUGCUGUUUGUUUUUUUGUAAUUUUGCUAUCAAGGAUCAAACUCAUAACCUCAUGUUUGCCAGGCAGGCACUUUGCUUGUGCCACUGAGCUAAACCCCUGGCCGCACUUAACUGGGUUUCAUUCCUAUGGAUUGCAUUUAUGGGAUUUUGUAGAUUCGAGUGGAGAAGGUCAGAGAACAUGAAAGAAGAGCAGACUCAUAUCCAUCCUUAUCUGAUAGGCAAAAAAAGAAAAAACCCAGCUAUGAAAAAGAUGACAACAGAGUAGAUGGAUUAUGAAGAAAUUUCUGGACUAUACUGAGAAUGCUAUGAUGAAGUAGGAUUAUAUGAAUUUCCCCGGGAAGCUGGUGAUUAUUUCUAUGAGAAAAUGUAUUCUAGCUUUCAACUCAGGCUGUCUGGAGCAUAUACUUUUUAUCGGAAUUUCAGGAGGAUUCAUAGGCAUUUCAUUUUCUAUCUAAUCUCAGAGACAGGAACUCUACCCUCUUCAAGCUGAAGCACCACAGACAGAAGUAGGAAUAAGUCUACCCAAAAUGCAUGCUGGGUGGGAGUGCUGAUUUGUUUUUUAAAGACAAGGUCUCACUAUGUAGCCCAGGCUGGCAUUGAACUCACAGUGAUCCUCCUGCCUCAGCUUCCUGAAUGCUUGUAUUACAGGCAUGUGCCAUCGUGCCCAGCUCCUUCAUCUUGCAUUCUAACCAAUUAAAGCAGUGAGAAAUAAUGCCCCCUCCCCGCACAGACGGGACCUGAGAGGGGUCAGUCCAGCUUGGCCCUGGUUCACUGCUAAGGUACUCAGAUAUGCCAGGUGUCAGUGUCACUUGUGCCUAGAAUGAAAAGGAAACGAGAUGUUACAUCUGUGUCACAUAGUGCAUGGGGGAGGCUGAGGCAGGAGGGUUGUUGCAAGUUUGAGACCAUCCUGAACUACAAACUGAGUUCACGGCCAUCACGGCCAUCCUGAACUGCAUUGUGAGACCCUCCCUGUCUCAAAAAUGACAAAACAAACAAAAGCAAAAAACAUGACAUGAAGAUAGUAUUUAGUUUGUCUUGCAUGGACUUGCUUCAGAAAGAUGCUAGAAAUAUAUUAAAAGUGGUCAAAAUUGUUUCUGCAUCUAUUGUCUACAUGCAAUAAUUCAUGUAAUUAUAUCAUGUAAUUAAUAAUUUCAUGCUAGAAAUAUGAGUGAUGAAAACUACAGUGAAUGUUUAUAUUUAAAAAAUUUAUUUCAGUAAAAGAUGCAUUGCCUCAAAAUACUCCCAUUUGCCUCAAACACAUUAAGCCCAUUGUUCAUGCCCAUUCUGAAGCAGCUUGGGAUUCAUUCACAAGCAGAUUUAGUUGUGCUGCUGGCUGCUUCUGUAUCCUGAAUUAAUUCGGAAUAUUUACCUUUCAUGGUUAUUUUGACUCCGGGGAAGAGCCGCAAGUCGCACAGUGCCAGAUGCAGUGCAUAGGUGGGUGGAGACACACUGUCGUGUUUUUACCAGCCUGCUUUUCUGACAGAUGGCACUUGGCAGAAGCAGUCAUCAUACUUGCGACCACACCCUGUAAGGCCCUCCGCAGUGACGGAGGAGCAGAAAGAGGAGGGAAGACAGGGAGGAGAUGUGCCCUCCCAGGCCGUGUCCCCGGUCCCCAUCUCUUCUGACCCCUGCCUCCUAACAGCAAGUUAGCUGUGGCCCCUUCUUCCAGUUAUUCCUACAAGCUCUACCUUUUCGAGGCCUUGAGGGGACGUCUAAUUUUAGUACAGGUGCUGCCGAAGCCAGCAUGGUGGGUGGGGGAGAAGCACCUGGAAAUAAACAGUAACAAGAGGAAUUAAUUUUUUUAAUUUUUAAAUUUAAAUAUUCAUACUUUGAUUAUAUAUUUAUACACAUAUAUACAGAGCACACACUGUAGAGCAAUAUUUUAAUCAAUGACAGACAAUGGUAUUUCCCUAACAUUUCAUCAUACAGCUGAAAAACUCCCACCCAGUGACACUGAGCUGUCCAGUGUCACAGUGUAGCGCAUUACUUAUGUGCACGUGGUGCCGAUGAUGCAAACAAAACCAUUGCUCUGCCAGGCACAUGAAAGUCUACAGCGUGUGGUGAUGGGAAUAAAUGACUCUGCUACUGGCUUAUGUAGUUACUAUACUUUUUAUCAUUACAUUAGGGAACUACUUAGGAGACAUGUUUACUGUAAACAGUUUGCUAUGUUACGCUGCAGUCAGCCUCAUUUGUCUGUGUUUACUACGCAUCCUGAUUGCAUCAGGGGAUGCUAAGGAACUGGCCUAUCUCAUGUAGGUUUGCACAAGCACCUUCUUUGAUGUUCUCACAAGGAUGGAGUCGCCUAAUGAUGCGUUUCCCAGAAAGUAUCCCUGUGGGUAAGCAACGCAUGACUGUGUGUACACUCACAGGAAUGGAGUAUUAGGUGUUAUGGAAAAACAGAUGGAUAGCCCCACUCUUUCCCCAUUUUCUCCUUUAAAAAAAUUAAUUUAAUGGAUUAAAGACUGUAUACAUAAGGCUCAUGUGUAGGCAAUUUUCCUGCUGGAGUGCUCUGCUGAAAGCAAUCUGUUUUCAUGGCCUGCACUGUUUAUUUUGCAUUCAGCGAUGUGGGCACGUGGGAACCAUUUGCAGAAAAUCUCUCUGAUGAUUUCUACACCCGACGCAACACAGAAGCAGAGGGUAGAGGUCCAGCAAGCUGCCUUUCCAAAGCCAGUUGUGCAAUCUCGCCUUUUAUUACUACUGACAAGUGUGUUAAUGAGAGAGGGGAAAAAGGAAGUUGUGGAAGAGAUAAAUUCAUUCUAUCUCUGAAAGAAUGGACAUCCAAGAUUUACACAAAUAAGAGUGUUCGUGGUGGUCCUUUGGGAUAGAAUUCUGGUAAGAAAUGUGCGAGACCUUUGCACUGAAUACUGAUGAUCGAUUAUGCAAGUGUCGUACAUUGGUUGGGACUUUCAGUAUAUCUGCUACCAAUGAUUGAUUGCAAAAGCUUUGCAACACAUCCCUCUACGUCCAAGCUCCCCAUUUCCUAAUCAGCCCACCCCACAUCCUGCCACCAGAGGGAUCUUUAAAACUGCAGUUCUGACCAUGGCUCCCCUCUGUCUUACCAUGUUAUAAAGGUCACUCCCUCAUUUCAAGAAGUAAAAACUUGCUGUUGACUGAGACCAGCUUUGAAAUGCACACACGUGUGUGUUUGUACCUUGUGAGCAUAGUUGCAGACAUUUAAAAACUGUAGUUUGAUAGAAAAAUCUGUUUUCUGCUGCUGUUAAAGACAGACAAAACAAAACAAAACUUGGAGCUCUGGUAAUGGUAGACUUACAUUUUUGCAUAAGAAUAAUCCAAUCACUCCAUGUGGAAGGACAUGAUUUUCCUAGUUUCCCACAGUGCCCUAUACCUCCUGCCUUUGUUCCUCAUUUAUAUGAUCUCAUUUGUAUGAUCCGUCUGGUAUGUAAAGGCAUUAAGAUUUCAACUGUUGGACUCUGGGCUGCAGUCCAGGCACUUAGCCUUGUAUACAAGAAACAUCUGACUUUUCCCAGCCUUGUUAAGGUUCAUAUGUCACAUUCUCUCCUCUUGAACUUUAUAUUCCGAAAGCAUUUCCUAGAAGGAACUGAUUUUACCAUCUCCAGGCCUUUCUAUCUGUCUGAAAAGCCUUCUCCAUGUACCAAGCUAUUUCUUUUUUCUGAAAGUGUUUCCUGGUUUCCUUAAUCAUUCUUCCCUGCUGCCCCCACCAUCCCCCAACACGGAAUACACUCCUCUUACUGAUUAUAUUACUCUGUAUCUUACUCCUUGGUGUAGGAUAAGGAGAAACUUCUUCCUUUUAGGAGCUGCAGGUGUAAAGAGCUUGUGGAGUGGGCUUGCUAGCGUGCUCAGGGCUGACGCUGAGCUCCAGAGCUGCAGAGCUGCAGCCCUCAAAGAGCAGAGGGCCCUCACAGCAGUGGGUCUCUAUGAGGAGGGGUAGAUGGGAGUCUGGUGGGUGCGGCUAGGGACUAACAUUAAGAACACAGAAGAGACUUGAAAAGAGCAGAGACGUUUUAACCCAGGGGUGUCAAGUAAAAACUACCAAGAAGACUGGGCUUGGUGUUAAGCCUGUAGUCCCAGCUGCUCAGGAGGCAGAAGCAGGAGGAUCACUUGAGCCCAGAUUCCAGGCCAGUUUUUAGUUGAAAACUGAAAACAUUGAAGGAGAUUGACCCUGGACAAUGAAUAGAAAUGGAAAGGAGGACAAGCACAGGAUUUGUUGUUUUCCGCAGUGCUGAGAAGUGAACUCAGGACCCUGUGCAUAGCAGGCAAACACUUUACACUAAGCAAUGCCUCCAGCUUCUUGGGGUUUGUGAGUUUUAAUAAACUGAAUGCAAGAGUGAGGGAUGGAGCUCUGGUAGAGAGCAGUUGGCUCUUGUGUAAAAGGCUCUGCAUUCUGUCCCCAGCACCAAAAAAAAAGUGUAAUACUUUAAUAAAUUAUUUAAAAGUUAGGUUUAGGAAAAAAUAGAUUUAGCAGUUGGGUGUAAUGUGGUCUUCCUCCACGGUCCCACAAAUCUCCAUAAAGAAUUAAAAUCAUCAAGAUUCACCAAUGACUCUCUGUCUGUGGAGUCCAAAUCCAUGCAUUCAAACAACUGUGAAUAGAAAACACUAAACAAAAUUGUAUUGAACCGAUGGAGACUUCAUUCCCUCAACAAUACAGUAUGAGAUUUAAAGCCAGGCCUAGUGGCACAUGCCUAUAAUUCUACCACUUGGGAGGCUGAAGCAGGAGGAUCACCACAAGUUUCAGGCCACAGGUGAGUUCAAGGUCUGCCUGAACUACACCAUGCCUCAAAAAAAAAAAAAAAUUAAAAUGUCAAAUCUAUCAAAGGAUCAUUUACAUAACAUUUACGUUGUAUUGUAAGUGCUCAAGAAAUCAUUUAAAGCAUAAGGGAGAACUGCAUAGUGGCCAGCUUUCCAUUGCUGGGACAAAACUCCUGACAGCCACAACUUAAAGGAGGAAAUAUUUAUUUUGGCUCACAGUUUCAGAGGUUUCAGCCCAUGGCUAGCUGGUUUCAUGGCAGAAGCGACUGGACUCAUGGCAUCUGGAGACACAGAGAAGGGGAAGAGCCAGAGGGCAAAGGCCCAGGGGCCGCAUAUAGUCCCUAAGGUCAUGCUGCUGUAACCCAGCAGACAUACCCGGAAGUGUGUUUGCUAAUCCAUCUCUCAUGCUUAUAAAAUAUCAAAAUUAACACAGUUUUUUUGUUCCACACAAAGAGUUUAACAAAGACUAGUUUGGCUAUUAGAAGGUCGUUGAUAAGGGCAGGAUUGGGGUUAAGGACACACAGGGAAGUUGGAAUCCUCUUUCGUGGUGAACUUCUCUCCAGAGGCGUCACAUCUCGGCUUCAGCAGUUUCUGCUCUUGUUCUCAUAGCUUUCCUUCUGGCUCUUUACCCUUAUUGCAACCCUGGUGAGCCUGUCUGCCCUCAAGGCCUCAGCCAUGCGUCUCUGGCUUUCUUCCCUCUCGGGUCUGUCUCUGGGUGUCUGUAGAAGUGAGCUGGUAGCUGUAGGAGGGUGGUAAAACAUGACAAGCUCCUGGGAUCAUCUCUUUCUAGAAUGGAGACAGACCAGGAAUGGGCUCCCAACCAGUGUGCAUACUGGAUACCAGCCUGGCCCAGGGAUCCACCUUGGUUUCCCAAAGCCAUUAUUUCGAAGGUGUUUGUGAAAUCCAAUUGACUUUAAACUAUUCUCUCAAUGCCUUCUUGCUCGAAUGCCUGCACCCUCCAGCUUGCAGAAUUGCUGGGGCUUUUCUAGCUUCUGCUGUGGACCUCACCUGACCUCACUGCCAGGGAGGGAAGUGAUUCUAGUCACCAGCCUUGGGGAAUGCAGCUGGUCGGUCUCAUGGGGAAGGCAGAGCUCUAUUCACUCUCUGCUUGGCGUUGGCGGCUCAGACUCAUUUCCUCUGUAAAUUCUGGGCUUCAUUUGAUUCUUUCCAAAAGACUGGCUUGGAGAUGAGUUUGUUGCUGGCUUUCCUAUGUUCACUGUGCUUGUCUUGACGGCUCCACUCCUAAGAAGCAGACAGGCUGUGCUUGCUAAAAUAUCCCAUCACAACUUUUUAAAAGGCUCGACACUUAGCUCUUCUACUGAUCUUCAUACCACUAUUUCAGACCCGGGAGAAGACAUCACGUAGCCAAAGAAGGAAGAGGGCCGAACUCACCCUUUCAUCAGGAGCCUACUUCUGUGAUAGUGGCCUCUUGAUCCAUUCUCAAGGGCAGGGCUCUCAUAUCAGUCACUUCUUAAAGAUCCCACAACUCAAGAGUACUCUUUGUGGAAUAAGAUUCCAACAUAGGAACUUUAGGGAUCACAUUUAAACCAUAGCAAGCCUGGCCCCCUGUCUUGUCCUGCAUGGCCCUUGGUGUUUCUGUAGGCUUCCUGGGACUCUGCUGGGAACUUGAUCUCUGUCCUGACCUGUAGCCUCUCUAGGUCUAAUCCAGGCUGUACUUUAUUGGGGUGACCAAUGGUCCUUUCCAGGCUGUUUUCCUGUUCAAAGAAGUGGACAGACAACUAAAAACUGUUAAAGUUUAAAAGAAGAAGGAAAAGCAAAAAAGAAGUGCCCUGAAGAAGAUGAUGUAAAGAAGACAAACGUGCAUCCUGCAUGUAGAGCAGGCCACUGCAAGAGCAAGGAGACAGUGGUCACAAGGCCAGUGCACAUCUUCUGUAUCCUCCUUUGACAUCAGCUCGGGGGGUCCCAUGUAGAGCUAAAGCUGCUCUGCACCUGCACCCCGGCCGCCAUGGACAGACCUCCAUGUCUGAUAGGUCAGGCCAAUUACCCUGCCGGUUUUCCAUGCCCUAAUCUCCUGCCGCAGUUUCUUCUGCCUUACACCAUCAGCAAUAUGUCUCUCAUCUUCUAUUUCCUAGAAAUUUGUUAAAAUUCUCUGCUGUUUACUUGUCUCAUUCUGUUAUUGUUUAUGUCUUUUAAUUUCCAUACUUUCCUUUUAUUGUGGUCUUGAGUGUGAGAGGAAAGAAAGGCGCAUAGUUCAUGAUUUUGAAGAGAAACUGGUACCUUGGCUUGCUUAUUUUCAUCUUGUAACUAGUGGGUGAGUGCUGUUAAGAAUAGGGAGGGUUCUUGGACAUAGUAGCCAGUGUCUAGUCACAACAACAGCACCUCUGUUUUUCAACAGAAGGAAUUUAAUAUAGGGAGUUGUUUGCACAGGCACUGGAAGAUAGAAUGAAAAGAGGACCCUGAGCAGAUCAGAAGGGUAUUACUAAGAAAGCAGAGGCAACUCAUAGUCCUAAGAGAACAAAAGUGAUUGUCAAACAAAAGAGAUUUUGAGGUUGUCAAAAACUAGAAACUUAGAGGAUGGGCUGGGCUUAGCUUUGGAGGAAUGGCUAUGACUGGUAGCUGGCAUCUCUCAGACAGAGAUGUCAUUGGUGAUGGGGGCCAGAAAUGCCCAAGUAGGAGCCAGCUGUAGCAUCUGGGCUAAGGGCCCAGAGGAACACUAGACAAAAGAAAAGAAGGAACAAGAUGGCUGUGUGUUCUCCUGGCUUCUGAGUUCUCUGUGACACUUAACAGGAAGCCAGCUGUCAAAAGAGUCUGGCAAGCUUAGUUACAGGGUCCUUGUCCCAGCCUGACAGAGCACAGUACAGAAUUGUGAAUUUGGAGUUGAGUGAUGGUAGAAAAGAAAGACACAAAGCAUCUAAUAUACAUAAAUCUAUAUUUAUAGGCAAGAUCUUUCUUCAGUGUUUCAGACUUUUUUUUGCAAUGACAAGUCUAGACUUUUUUGUUUUUUAUAAUGUUGGGAAAUAAACCUACGGCCUCGGACAUGCUAAACUUAUGCUGAGCCCCAGAACCAGCCUCCAGAUUUGUAUUUCUGUCAAUUGUCCCUUUUCAACUGUCUCAUGGGAGUAUCACAGACAAACAGAAAAUUAACAAAUUCCUCUUCUAAAGCCUCAGAAUAAUUCAUGCUAACUUUGAACUGAAUUAAACUGGGGGUAGUGCUAUUUUCUAUAUGAAGGCUGUUUACCAAACUGAAUCAUGUUUGCAUCCAAAUUUGUUUUCUUUCUCCAUAAAGGACAACAUUGUCCAGCCACCAAAGCCCAAUGUGGGAGUUAUUCAAUAUGGCUUUUUCUCCCUCAAUCCCAUACAUUUCACUCACUGGAUUUUGCCAUUUUGCUUGCUUAGGCAGUGUGCUGCAGGGGGCUGUUAUCAGUGAAAGCUCUUAAAAGCUUCACCAUCACUGUCUUAGGGUCUCUUAAUUCUAUCUUAUCUCCUAGAUUGCCUUUCUGUUGCCUCAUUAGACCCUGAUUACAUUUUCUGUUGACCACUACUGUUACCUUCUAGUUGGUCUCUUAACUGCUAUUUUAUCCUUAAGUUGAUUACUAGCAUGAUUUUACAAAUUUAGCAGAUGUAAGCCGGUUUGUGGUGGUGCACACCUGUAAUCUCAGCACUUGGGAGACUGAGGCAGGAGAAUCAUUGUGAGUUGGAGACAGCCUGGGCUCCAAAGUGAGCUCAAGGUCAGCCUGAUCUGCAUAGUUUUUACAGAUCUGCUGGGCGUAGUGGCACAAACCUGUAAUUCCAGAGGCUGAGGCAGGAGGACUGUAAGUUCAAGUCUGGCCUUGGCCACUUAGUGAUUUACCCAGACCUUGUCUCAAAAUUAAAAAAAAAAAAAAAAAGGUCCAGGGAUGUAGCUCAAUGAGAAGACUCUGGGUUUAAUAAUACCACAGCACAAAACAAAACAUAUCUGAUUAGAUCAACAUGGAGGUUAUGUCCUCGAAUGGAUAAAGGUGUUGGUACUGUGUAAUUCUUCACAAUCAGGGAAAGGAAAGCCCUGUUCAGCAAGAGUCAGUGCCUGACAGCAGUAGAGAGGGCUGAGUCUGCCAUGAGCAUGUGUGGAAUUAAAGGGUGGCAAGGACUGGAACACAGAAAAUUGGUCUUGACGCUUAGAAAUUGAAAAGGUGAGAUAAAAGGAGCAUGAGGUAAAGAUUGGAAAGAGAAGAGAGAAAAACAGAAUUAGAAUCAUAACUUUUGUUUCUAACGAGUUGGCAAGCAAAGGAUUUUGCCUUAAUGCAAAGGAAAUUAUUUUUAUAAAUUCCAGAAGUGUCUAUAACCAUCCCCUAUAAAGAUGUAAAGAAAAAGACCCUGGUUGAUAUUGUAAAGAAGCAGAGAAAAUGUAAAAAAAUGGAAUGAAGUUAAUGGAUCGCUUUUGAAGUUCAAGAGAAGCCCAAAGAAAGUUCCAAAACCUUGGGAGAGUUGCUUGAUAUGUGUGUUUAUUAACAAGAGGUGCCAGCAUUUUCAUGAGCCAGGAAUGCCAGUUUCUGACAUCUGCAAAAUGAUCCUGAGACAAAAACAGGGCAGACCUGGCUGGAAGCAUGCAGUGUGGACUGUGAAUUAGGUCUGCUUGCUACGGGGACAAGCCUGGUGUGUCCUAUAGUUGAAAAGAAGACAAAAAUGAAGGAAGAAAAUAGUGGAAACUGUCAGCUAACAGAAGAUAAUGGCAUUGCAUUCUGCUUUGUUAGGAACAUUUAGAAGUGACCUGUUGAAAAGCCACACUGAACCAAAUAGCAGAGGCAAAGCCUCAUUUCCUGAGCUGGGAUCUUGACCUUCUCAAGCAAGACAUAAGGUUUCUGGGAAAGAGACUGAAUCUAUUCAAAAGUGACACAAUGCUAUAUAAGCAUUCAGAGGUGAUGUGAUAAAAAGAAUCAGGAAAUAGCUACCAUAAAAUAGCUGUGUAAAUACUGCAGUCUCUCUUGUGUGAGAAAAUGAAACUAUAAAGGAGAACAGAAAUAUAUAACAAAUAUUGUGAAAUAGGAAGAAAUUGUUCAAAAGGUCUGGGGAGCCAGAAGGGAGGAGGGGAAAGGAAGGAAAAGGGAUGAGAAAAAAUAAGAAAAGGAUAUAAUGGGAGCAAAGUCUUAUAAAUAUGGAGAGGGAGAGAGGCUGGAGGGGAGGGGCAUUGGGUAAAAAGGUACCAAGAUGUGUCUAUACAGGUACAAAUUCCCUAUGAUGAACAUAGUCAGCAUGUAUAUCUAAAUUGCACCAAUAAACUUAAUUUUUAAAAAAAGUGGAGGAGUAGGCAAGAGUCAAGCUGGUCAUCAGACAGCGAGGUCACGUUCACACUGAGGUGGCCACCUGGAUGCGAAGUGUCUGAAGGUCCUGCAGGCGAGGGGGACCCUGCAGGUGACCUCAAGGAGAACACACACGUGGAGGCCACGUUGGAGAAGAUUCGCACUCCGAAGCCAUGGAGGAGGCGCUGAAGAAGGCCGCGGGAAUUGAUUCUCGCCUCAAGUCACAAGUCCUGGGGUCCAGGAUCUGAGAGGCUACGUGGGGCCUCCGGAUGAUGUGUGCUACAUCUAUGACCUGCCGUGUCCUUAGGAGCUGAGGUGCUUGUGCUCUGGCUCCUAUAGCUUCUCAUCACUGUCACCACGAAGCCUGUGGCCAAGUCACAUCAGCAAGAUGGGAAAAGAAUGCCUGGCAAAUAGGGUGCGAAGGAACUGGUUACCCCACCUGGGCUCUGGUGGAUGUCUGGCCUCCACUGACCUGUUGUUCUUGCAUUUCUUGGAGGAAUGCUACAGAAUCUUCCCCGUGGAAUCUGACCCUAUGCUGUCAGUAGGAUGUGCCCAAGACAUCUCCUCUCAUGAGUCAGUGCCCCAUUAGCAGAGUUCCAGGGUCUCACAUUGUAGUGCAGACUGGCCUUGAACUCACCAUGUAGCCCCAGGCUGGUCUCAGACUGGCAGCAAUCUUCCUGCCUCAGCCCCCUGACUGCUGGGACUGUAUGUGUGCCUCCAUGCCAGGCCAAUUAUGAGUUUUCCCUUGCUGCUUGAUGUGGACCUCAGGGCUUGUCUUGUCCCCUGGCCCAUUCGUUCCAGCUGCAAUAGCUGCCCUUCAUUUCCUGUAAGACGCCAAACUCUUGCCCAGGACACUGUACCUGGUUCCUUUACCCGAGCCGUAUUUAUCCUGCUGUUUUCAUUAUUUGAAUAUCAUUUCCCCAGGGAAGUCCUCCAAGUCACCCCCUUCCACCCAAUCCAUUGAAUCUCACAUUUCUUGGUUUUAUUUUCUUUUUCUCCAAUCACAAUCUGAAAUUACCUUACCUGCCCAUGCUGAUCUCAGCAGAACUGAAAGCCGGUCUGAGAGACGCAUCUUCUCCCUGAUUCCCUCUGGGGAUCUUGCUCCCUCCCCCAAUGCAUACUUAACUGUUUGUCAAAUGGGUUGCAUCAAAUAAAAAA